This 496-nucleotide ribosomal RNA is filed under the name uncultured bacterium. RNAcentral describes it as "bacterial SSU rRNA". It matches the Rfam family "Bacterial small subunit ribosomal RNA", at positions 29 to 518 of the family's 1533-position model. The record is from RNAcentral.
AUGAACGCUAGCGACAGGCCUAACACAUGCAAGUCGAGGGGCAGCACAAGGAGCGAUCUGAGGUGGCGACCGGCGCACGGGUGAGUAACACGUAUGCAACCUGCCUGUAAGCGGGGAAUAACCCGUUGAAAGACGGACUAAUACCGCAUAAUACUAAAUUACUGCAUGGUAAUUUAUUUAAACAUUUAUGGCUUACAGAUGGGCAUGCGCAUGAUUAGCUAGUUGGAGAGGUAACGGCUCCCCAAGGCAACGAUCAUUAGGGGUUCUGAGAGGAAGGUCCCCCACACUGGUACUGAGACACGGACCAGACUCCUACGGGAGGCAGCAGUGAGGAAUAUUGGUCAAUGGACGAGAGUCUGAACCAGCCAAGUCGCGUGCAGGAAGAAUGUUCCCUAUGGAUUGUAAACUGCUUUUGCAGGGGAAUAAAGUGCAUCACGUGUGAUGUUUUGUAUGUACUCUGCGAAUAAGGAUCGGCUAACUCCGUGCCAGCCGCUGC